GGUUGGGAGGGGGCUCGAGGCCAUCAGGCUCCAGGCCGCACUUGGCGCUGCCCCCUGGCGCCAGGGAAACAAAGGGACGGGGGUCUUGCUAGGUUGCCAAGGCUGGUCUUGAACUCCUGACUUCAAGCAGUCCUCCCACCUCAGCCUCCUAGGGUGUCCGGAUUACAGGCAUGAGCCACUGUGCCCGGCCCCCUAUCACGAUAUCCAUAAGAUGCCAGGAUGCCCAGGAACCGAGUUUGAAAGACAUUGUGCUGCUGAUCCCACCUCCUGACUUUACAGCUGCUGAAUUGCAGAAGACAAAUUGGUAGCUAACAGGAGGCUCCAUCCUGGAUCCUGCCCCUGUCCGUGAGAUUCAGCCUUGAUUAACUGUGUUCCCAUGCUGGUCGUGAGCAGGGCACCAUCCUAGGUCCUUCUUUAUACUCAUUUUCCAUCUCCAGCCAAAAUGGGUUGAACCGAGGAACAAGGACAUAAUCUGUAAAGAGCAAGUGCAAGUCUCUGCUCUGCCAUUACCAGCAUCAGGCUAAUCAAGCCCUUGGAAACUCAAUUUCUUCUCCUGUAAAAUGUGAAUAACUGUUACAGACCUG
RNAcentral lists this long non-coding RNA (584 nucleotides) under Homo sapiens (human). RNAcentral describes it as "HSALNT0219128". The record is from RNAcentral. Lineage: Eukaryota; Metazoa; Chordata; Mammalia; Primates; Hominidae.